RNAcentral lists this ribosomal RNA (426 nucleotides) under uncultured bacterium. RNAcentral's name for it is "bacterial SSU rRNA". It matches the Rfam family "Bacterial small subunit ribosomal RNA", at positions 355 to 773 of the family's 1533-position model. The record is from RNAcentral.
UGGGGAAUCUUGCGCAAUGCGCGAAAGCGUGACGCAGCAACGCCGCGUGGGGGAAGAAGGCCUUCGGGUUGUAAACCCCUUUCAGGAGGGACGAAGGUCGGGCGGGGAAUAGCCGACCCGACUGACGGUACCUCCACAAACAGCCCCGGCUAACUACGUUCCAGCAGCCGCGGUAAUACGUAGGGGGCAAGCGUUGUCCGGAAUCAUUGGGCGUAAAGAGCGUGUAGGCGGUCCGGUAAGUCGGCUGUGAAAGUCCAGGGCUCAACCCUGGGAUGCCGGUCGAUACUGCCGGACUAGAGUUCGGAAGAGGCGAGUGGAAUUCCCGGUGUAGCGGUGAAAUGCGCAGAUAUCGGGAGGAACACCUAUGGCGAAGGCAGCUCGCUGGGACGUUACUGACGCUGAGACGCGAAAGCGUGGGGAGCAAAC